Molecule: transfer RNA, 64 nt
Filed under: Dacrila fallax
Lineage: Eukaryota; Metazoa; Arthropoda; Insecta; Coleoptera; Staphylinidae
Description: tRNA-Pro
Source: RNAcentral
CAGAGAAUAGUUUAUAAAAAUUUUAAUUUUGGAAAUUAAUGAUGGAAGGAAUUUCCUUCUCUGA